This 72-nucleotide transfer RNA is filed under the name Camelus bactrianus (Bactrian camel). It matches the Rfam family "tRNA". Rfam says of the family: Transfer RNA (tRNA) molecules are approximately 80 nucleotides in length. RNAcentral also lists the same sequence under 1 other name. Lineage: Eukaryota; Metazoa; Chordata; Mammalia; Artiodactyla; Camelidae. The record is from Rfam by way of RNAcentral.
AAGGGUGGAGCUCAGUGGCAGAGCGCGUGCUUAGCAUGCAUGGGGUCCUGGGCUCAAUCCCUGGUGCCUUCU